AGCGAACGCUGGCGGCAGGCUUAACACAUGCAAGUCGAGCGCACGUAGCAAUACGUGAGCGGCAGACGGGAGAGUAACACGUGGGAACGUACCCUUCGGUUCGGAAUAACUCAGGGAAACUUGAGCUAAUACCGGAUACGUCCGAAAGGAGAAAGAUUUAUCGCCGAGGGAUCGGCCCGCGUCCGAUUAGCUUGUUGGUGGGGUAAUGGCCCACCAAGGCGACGAUCGGUAGCUGGUCUGAGAGGAUGAUCAGCCUCACUGGGACUGAGA
Molecule: ribosomal RNA, 270 nt
Filed under: uncultured bacterium
Lineage: Bacteria
Description: partial 16S ribosomal RNA
Rfam family: Bacterial small subunit ribosomal RNA
Source: RNAcentral